ACCAGCAGACGAGUCCCAAAUAGGGUGAAACGUACUUUCUGGAU
Molecule: non-coding RNA, 44 nt
Organism: Schistosoma mattheei
Lineage: Eukaryota; Metazoa; Platyhelminthes; Trematoda; Strigeidida; Schistosomatidae
Source: Rfam